GAAGAACUUUCAAGAACACAAAAAUUAGAGCAAAACAAAAGAGGGGCAUUCGGCUACAAGAAAGAAAAAAAAAAUUGUUGCCCACAAAUCUUUGAUGCAAAAACUAAAUUCUUCUUGAAUUUCCACUAAGUUGGAAACCCUCUUCAAGGUGAUACAAAUUUGGAAGCAAAAGAGUAUUUUUUUUUUUACAAAGUGAAGAAUUUGGAAAAGAUAUUGGAGAGCCCGAGACCUGAGUCGGGAUUCGUUUGGCGAGUGAUCGAGAUUUGGUAGUGAGCGAUCGAGGUACGGACGUUCAUUUUGGUGAUUCCCAGUAUAGGAUACCUACUCUGCCACUUGGAUUACUCCUUUUGAUUCGGAGCUCAUACUUUUGGUACAUAUCUUCUGCUACACAUAUUCUGUAUAUAUAUGACUAUUUGGGUACGGCGGGGCCCUGUCCCGUCAUAUGCUUCUGUUAUGUUUUGUAGAGGCCUGUAGUCAUAUAUGUGGGUCAUGGGUCAUGUUUGUUCGUUUGUGAUUAUGAUUUCGUCUUAGUGCGGCCCCGUUUACUAUUAUGGCCAAAACGACCCAUUUGUCUAUAUAUGUGUGUAUAUCUGGCGAUGUGUAUUCCGCCAAUUUAUCGGAUUUGGAUAUGAUGUUUUUGUACGGGCGACUGCUUAAGAUGAUACUUGUUUUCAGCAUUUGCUUAAAUGACGUAGGUUCAGUUUGAAUAAAAUUUUGAUAUGUCGAUCUGGUA
Long non-coding RNA from Lycium barbarum (goji berry), 733 nucleotides. RefSeq lists it as uncharacterized. Lineage: Eukaryota; Viridiplantae; Streptophyta; Magnoliopsida; Solanales; Solanaceae. The transcript is spliced from 3 exons. The record is from RefSeq and is a predicted model, not a curated record.